UCCCUGGUGGCUCAGAUGACAAAGUGCCUGCCUGAAAUGUGGGAGAUCCAGGUUCAAUUCCUGGGUUGGGAA
RNAcentral lists this transfer RNA (72 nucleotides) under Ovis aries (sheep). It matches the Rfam family "tRNA". From Rfam's summary of the family: Transfer RNA (tRNA) molecules are approximately 80 nucleotides in length. Their secondary structure includes four short double-helical elements and three loops (D, anti-codon, and T loops). Lineage: Eukaryota; Metazoa; Chordata; Mammalia; Artiodactyla; Bovidae. The record is from Rfam by way of RNAcentral.